CGCAGCCGCGGUAAUUCCAGCUCCAAUAGCGUAUAUUAAAGUUGUUGCAGUUAAAAAGCUCGUAGUUGAAUUUCGGGAUCAUCAGGUUGGUCGUGCCACUGGUACGUACUUGCCUUGAUGGUUCCUCCCUCUUGAAGAACCGUAAUGUCAUUAAUUUGGUGUUGCGGGGAAUCAGGACUGUUACUUUGAAAAAUUAGAGUGUUUAAAGCAGGCAACCGCUUGAAUACAUUAGCAUGGAAUAAUGAAAUAGGACGUUUGACCCUAUUUUGUUGGUUUCUAGGAUCGACGUAAUGAUUAAUAGGGUUAGUUGGGGGCAUUAGUAUUCAAUUGUCAGAGGUGAAAUUCUUGGAUUUAUUGAAGACUAACUACUGCGAAAGCAUUUGCCAAGGAUG
Molecule: small RNA, 392 nt
Filed under: uncultured Glomus
Lineage: Eukaryota; Fungi; Glomeromycota; Glomeromycetes; Glomerales; Glomeraceae
Description: SSU rRNA
Rfam family: Eukaryotic small subunit ribosomal RNA
Source: RNAcentral